AGAGUUUGAUCCUGGCUCAGAACGAACGCUGGCGGAGUAACACAUGCAAGUCGAGCGCUCAGNNAUGAGAGCGGCGCACGGGUGAGUAACACGUGGGAACAUGCCCUUUGGUUCGGAAUAACUCAGGGAAACUUGUGCUAAUACCGGAUAAGCCCUUACGGGGAAAGAUUUAUCGCCAAAGGAGUGGCCCGCGUCCGAUUAGCUAGUUGGUGAGGUAAAGGCUCACCAAGGCGACGAUCGGUAGCUGGUCUGAGAGGACGACCAGCCACACUGGGACUGAGACACGGCCCAGACUCCUACGGGAGGCAGCAGUGGGGAAUCUUGGACAAUGGGGGAAACCCUGAUCCAGCCAUGCCGCGUGAGUGAUGAAGGCCCUAGGGUUGUAAAACUCUUUCGGCGGGGACGAUAAUGACGGUACCCGCAGAAGAAGCUCCGGCUAACUUCGUGCCAGCAGCCGCGGUAAUACGAAGGGGGCUAGCGUUGUUCGGAAUUACUGGGCGUAAAGCGCGCGCAGGCGGUUCUUCAAGUCAGAGGUGAAAGCCCAGAGCUCAACUCUGGAAUGGCCUUUGAGACUAGAGAACUUGGGUACGGGAGAGGUGAGUGGAAUUCCGAGUGUAGAGGUGAAAUUCGUAGAUAUUCGGAAGAACACCAGUGGCGAAGGCGGCUCACUGGCCCGUUACCGACGCUCAGGCGCGACAGCGUGGGGAGCAAACAGGAUUAGAUACCCUAGUAGUCC
RNAcentral lists this ribosomal RNA (736 nucleotides) under uncultured bacterium. Its description in RNAcentral is "bacterial SSU rRNA". It matches the Rfam family "Bacterial small subunit ribosomal RNA", at positions 8 to 796 of the family's 1533-position model. The record is from RNAcentral.